UACGAAGGGGGGCUAGCGUUGCUCGGAAUCACUGGGCGUAAAGGGCGCGUAGGCGGACUCUUAAGUCAGGGGUGAAAUCCUGGAGCUCAACUCCAGAACUGCCUUUGAUACUGAGAAGCUUGAGUCCGGGAGAGGUGAGUGGAAUUCCUAGUGUAGAGGUGAAAUUCGUAGAUAUUAGGAAGAACACCAGUGGCGAAGGCGGCUCACUGGCCCGGUACUGACGCUGAGGCGCGAAAGCGUGGGGAGCAAACAGG
RNAcentral lists this ribosomal RNA (254 nucleotides) under uncultured bacterium. RNAcentral's name for it is "partial 16S ribosomal RNA". It matches the Rfam family "Bacterial small subunit ribosomal RNA", at positions 524 to 776 of the family's 1533-position model. The record is from RNAcentral.